This 252-nucleotide ribosomal RNA is filed under the name uncultured bacterium. RNAcentral's name for it is "partial 16S ribosomal RNA". It matches the Rfam family "Bacterial small subunit ribosomal RNA", at positions 524 to 776 of the family's 1533-position model. The record is from RNAcentral.
UACGGAGGAUGCGAGCGUUAUCCGGAUUUAUUGGGUUUAAAGGGUGCGUAGGCGGGUUAUCAAUUCAGCGGUAAAAUCGUGGAGCUCAACUCCAUCCAGCCGUUGAAACUGAUGAUCUUGAGUGGGCGAGAAGUAUGCGGAAUGCGUGGUGUAGCGGUGAAAUGCAUAGAUAUCACGCAGAACUCCGAUUGCGAAGGCAGCAUACCGGCGCCCGACUGACGCUGAAGCACGAAAGCGUGGGUAUCGAACAGG